This 758-nucleotide ribosomal RNA is filed under the name Pseudomonas aeruginosa. RNAcentral describes it as "partial 23S ribosomal RNA". It matches the Rfam family "Bacterial large subunit ribosomal RNA", at positions 2173 to 2925 of the family's 2925-position model. The record is from RNAcentral. Lineage: Bacteria; Pseudomonadati; Pseudomonadota; Gammaproteobacteria; Pseudomonadales; Pseudomonadaceae.
AGUUCGCGUGGAGCCAUCCUUGAAAUACCACCCUGGCAUGCUUGAGGUUCUAACUCUGGUCCGUGAUCCGGAUCGAGGACAGUGUAUGGUGGGCAGUUUGACUGGGGCGGUCUCCUCCUAAAGAGUAACGGAGGAGUACGAAGGUGCGCUCAGACCGGUCGGAAAUCGGUCGCAGAGUAUAAAGGCAAAAGCGCGCUUGACUGCGAGACAGACACGUCGAGCAGGUACGAAAGUAGGUCUUAGUGAUCCGGUGGUUCUGUAUGGAAGGGCCAUCGCUCAACGGAUAAAAGGUACUCCGGGGAUAACAGGCUGAUACCGCCCAAGAGUUCAUAUCGACGGCGGUGUUUGGCACCUCGAUGUCGGCUCAUCACAUCCUGGGGCUGAAGCCGGUCCCAAGGGUAUGGCUGUUCGCCAUUUAAAGUGGUACGCGAGCUGGGUUUAGAACGUCGUGAGACAGUUCGGUCCCUAUCUGCCGUGGACGUUUGAGAUUUGAGAGGGGCUGCUCCUAGUACGAGAGGACCGGAGUGGACGAACCUCUGGUGUUCCGGUUGUCACGCCAGUGGCAUUGCCGGGUAGCUAUGUUCGGAAAAGAUAACCGCUGAAAGCAUCUAAGCGGGAAACUUGCCUCAAGAUGAGAUCUCACUGGGAACUUGAUUCCCCUGAAGGGCCGUCGAAGACUACGACGUUGAUAGGCUGGGUGUGUAAGCGUUGUGAGGCGUUGAGCUAACCAGUACUAAUUGCCCGUGAGGCUUGACCAU